Molecule: ribosomal RNA, 267 nt
Filed under: uncultured bacterium
Lineage: Bacteria
Description: partial 16S ribosomal RNA
Rfam family: Bacterial small subunit ribosomal RNA
Source: RNAcentral
UGCCGGCGACCGGCGGACGGGUGCGUAACGCGUAUGCAACCUACCUUUGACAGGGGGAUAACAUCGAGAAAUUGGUACUAAUACCCCAUAACAUCACCGGAGGCAUCUUCGGUGGUUGAAAACUCAGGUGGUCAGAGAUGGACAUGCGUUGUAUUAGCUAGUUGGUGAGGUAACGGCUCACCAAGGCGACGAUACAUAGGGGGACUGAGAGGUCAACCCCCCACAUUGGUACUGAGACACGGACCAAACUCCUACGGAAGGCAGCAG